Molecule: long non-coding RNA, 305 nt
Filed under: Nicotiana benthamiana
Lineage: Eukaryota; Viridiplantae; Streptophyta; Magnoliopsida; Solanales; Solanaceae
Description: long non-coding RNA (NBEN_LNC027482)
Source: RNAcentral
CGCAUACUAAAACAGAGUAGACUGAUCGGACGACAUGCGCAUCAGAGAAAUAGAAUGGAUUUCACAUCGAUAGAAAGAAAGUCCUUGUCUUUCUCUGUCUCGGUAGUAGCAUCAGCCUCAUUGCCCGGUAUGGCUUGAUAGUGGUAUAAGGAUUUCCCUGUAGGUGGUCCGCUUACUGUGCUAUUUCAAUGCUUCGGGGUAGAAGAUGUCGAAGGAACAAAGAGGACGAAGGUUCUUCGGCGCAUAUUCGUAGGAUAUGACACCGAACGAAAAGGAUGGAGAUGUUUCGACCUACCCGUAAAAGA